Molecule: ribosomal RNA, 570 nt
Filed under: uncultured bacterium
Lineage: Bacteria
Description: partial 16S ribosomal RNA
Rfam family: Bacterial small subunit ribosomal RNA
Source: RNAcentral
UGGGGAAUUUUGGACAAUGGGCGAAAGCCUGAUCCAGCCAUGCCGCGUGCAGGAUGAAGGCCUUCGGGUUGUAAACUGCUUUUGUACGGAACNAAAAGCCUCUUUCUAAUAAAGAGGGGUCAUGACGGUACCGUAAGAAUAAGCACCGGCUAACUACGUGCCAGCAGCCGCGGUAAUACGUAGGGUGCAAGCGUUAAUCGGAAUUACUGGGCGUAAAGCGUGCGCAGGCGGUUUUGUAAGACAAGGUGAAAUCCCCGGGCUCAACCUGGGAACUGCCUUUGUGACUGCAAGGCUGGAGUGCGGCAGAGGGGGAUGGAAUUCCGCGUGGUAGCAGUGAAAUGCGUAGAUAUGCGGAGGAACACCGAUGGCGAAGGCAAUCCCCUGGGCCUGCACUGACGCUCAUGCACGAAAAGCGUGGGGGAGCAAAACAGGAUUAGAUACCCCUGGGUAGUCCACGCCCUAAAACGAUGUCAACUGGUUGUUGGGUCUUCACUGACUCAGUAACGAAGCUAACGCGUGAAGUUGACCGCCUGGGGAGUACGGCCGCAAGGUUGAAACUCAAAUGAAUUG